This 870-nucleotide long non-coding RNA is filed under the name Trifolium pratense (red clover). Its description in RNAcentral is "long non-coding RNA (TPRA_LNC003829)". The record is from RNAcentral. Lineage: Eukaryota; Viridiplantae; Streptophyta; Magnoliopsida; Fabales; Fabaceae.
AAAAGUGAAUGCGCACCAUUGUGAGAGUGCUAACUUUUUAAUUUAACAAAAUUUUCAAUUUGUCAGUUCCUAUCCCUAUACAUGUACAGUAUACACACAUCUCUCUCUCUUUCUUUCUCUUUCAACCUUAUUUGUCCUCUUCUAAGAACCAACCUACCAACUGUUUGUUUUAUUGCUUCUUUCUAUAUUUUCAUAGAAUUCAUCAACUCUUCAAUUACUAUUUAGCUUCUUUCAAUGGUGGUGUUUGGAAAUUGGAAGUGUAUAUUCAAUGUGAUUAAUUAUUUCUUUUGAUAACUUGUGGUUCUCAGAGAAAGGAUUGAUAAUCCGGAGUCUGAUUGUCAGAUAAGUAAAGUCUGACCUAAUAUUUCGGAGUCUGGUAUUCCUGAUAAUCUGGAAUUUGGUUGUUAGAUAAGUAAAGUCUGACCUAAUAUUUCGGAGUCUGGUAUUCCUGAUAAUCCGGAGUUUGGUUGGGAGAUAAGUAAAGUCUGACCUGAUAAUCCGGAGUAUGGUAUUCCUGAUAAUCUGAAGUUUGGUUGUCAGAUAAGUAAAAUAUGACUAAUAAUUGUGUCUCGGCUAAAUAUAUUGAAAUAGUACAAGAUGUGAUAGGUUUUAAAGUUGUUAAAGAUUGAGACUGGGAAGAAAUUGAUGGUCCAAACUAUAAUUAAGCUAUGAAUUGAAAGCAUUGAGAAUCCCAAUUAAGAGGAGAGAGAUAUGAGACUAUAUAGGCUUGUAGUUGUAGCUUUCUUACUGUUAUUUGCAUUAAAUAUGAAAGAUUCUAUCUAUGAGGUUUUUAUGUGAGUGUGAGAUCUAUAAAGAGAGAUUAUUGAAGUGAUUUUAAUUUAGAUUUGCAUUGUUAUAUGAUUGCAGGUU